Molecule: ribosomal RNA, 239 nt
Filed under: uncultured bacterium
Lineage: Bacteria
Description: partial 16S ribosomal RNA
Rfam family: Bacterial small subunit ribosomal RNA
Source: RNAcentral
AGUGGCGGACGGGUGAGUAACGCGUGGGUAACCUGCCUCAUACAGGGGGAUAACAGUUAGAAAUGACUGCUAAUACCGCAUAAGACCACAGCACCGCAUGGUGCAGGGGUAAAAACUCCGGUGGUAUGAGAUGGACCCGCGUCUGAUUAGGUAGUUGGUGGGGUAACGGCCUACCAAGCCGACGAUCAGUAGCCGACCUGAGAGGGUGACCGGCCACAUUGGGACUGAGACACGGCCAA